GUCAUAAUAUCUGGAAUGAUUUAUGGCUAAAAUCUACAUGGCCCCUGGAUUGGACUGCGGCCGAUCAGGCUGUUGGUGAGGUAAUGGCCCACCAAACCUAAAACCGGUACGGGCUCUGAGAGGAGAAGCCCGGAGAUGGGCACUGAGACAAGGGCCCAGGCCCUAUGGGGCGCAGCAGGCGCGAAAACUCUGCAAUAAGCGAAAGCUUGACAGGGUUAUUCUGAGUGAUUUCCGCUAAGGAAAUCUUUUGGCGCCUCUAAAAAUGGUGCAGAAUAAGGGGUGGGCAAGCCUGGUGUCAGCCGCCGCGGUAAUACCAGCACCCCGAGUGGUCGGGACGAUUAUUGGGCCUAAAGCAUCCGUAGCCGGUUCUACGAGUCUUCCGUUAAAUCCAUCUGCUUAACAGAUGGGCUGCGGAGGAUACUAUGGAGCUAGGAGGCGGGAGAGGCAAGCGGUACUUAGUGGGUAGGGGUAAAAUCCGUUGAUCCACUGAAGACCACCAGUGGCGAAGGCGGCUUGCCAGAACGCGCUCGACGGUGAGGGAUGAAAGCUGGGGGAGCAAACCGGAUUAGGUACCCGGGUAGUCCCAGCUGUAAACGAUGUAGACUCGGUGAUGAAUAGGCUUCGUGCCUUUUCAGUGCCG
This 640-nucleotide ribosomal RNA is filed under the name uncultured crenarchaeote. Its description in RNAcentral is "bacterial SSU rRNA". It matches the Rfam family "Archaeal small subunit ribosomal RNA", at positions 156 to 803 of the family's 1478-position model. Lineage: Archaea; Thermoproteati; Thermoproteota. The record is from RNAcentral.